Molecule: ribosomal RNA, 463 nt
Filed under: Lelliottia amnigena
Lineage: Bacteria; Pseudomonadati; Pseudomonadota; Gammaproteobacteria; Enterobacterales; Enterobacteriaceae
Description: bacterial SSU rRNA
Rfam family: Bacterial small subunit ribosomal RNA
Source: RNAcentral
GAAGAACCUUACCUACUCUUGACAUCCAGAGAACUUAGCAGAGAUGCUUUGGUGCCUUCGGGAACUCUGAGACAGGUGCUGCAUGGCUGUCGUCAGCUCGUGUUGUGAAAUGUUGGGUUAAGUCCCGCAACGAGCGCAACCCUUAUCCUUUGUUGCCAGCGGUUCGGCCGGGAACUCAAAGGAGACUGCCAGUGAUAAACUGGAGGAAGGUGGGGAUGACGUCAAGUCAUCAUGGCCCUUACGAGUAGGGCUACACACGUGCUACAAUGGCAUAUACAAAGAGAAGCGACCUCGCGAGAGCAAGCGGACCUCACAAAGUAUGUCGUAGUCCGGAUCGGAGUCUGCAACUCGACUCCGUGAAGUCGGAAUCGCUAGUAAUCGUAGAUCAGAAUGCUACGGUGAAUACGUUCCCGGGCCUUGUACACACCGCCCGUCACACCAUGGGAGUGGGUUGCAAAAGAAG